AAAAAAAAAAAAAAAACCCAAUUUAUGCCACUGUACCUAUAUAAACAUUUAGGAUGAAUGAAACUAGUCGAAUGAUGGAAAGAAGAAAACAAAGAAACUUUCAGAGAAAAUGUUCACGCCGCAUAAAUGUUCUUGUUCCAUCUACUGCAGAAUUCAUUUUCUGGCAUCAAUAGAAUAAAUCUAAAUCCUUACUUCAGUACAGAACAAUUGUGUUACUAGCAAUAGUGACUCCUAAAAGAAUGGUUUUAAAGGAAAACAUUAUCCCUGCAUUCCUACACCCAAACAAAAGAAUGAAGGAAAGAAGAAUCCCCAAACAAAAGGGGGAGAAAAAAGAAGAAAGCAGGAAGUUCGUUACACUACCCUUGGGGGAGGAAACACAGGAAGUUCUUCAUU
RNAcentral lists this unclassified non-coding RNA (393 nucleotides) under Hevea brasiliensis (rubber tree). The record is from RNAcentral. Lineage: Eukaryota; Viridiplantae; Streptophyta; Magnoliopsida; Malpighiales; Euphorbiaceae.